CAAGUGCCCAAGAAAUGGACCCGACUCUCGAGAUUCUGAAAACGCGGCGUGACACGCGACCCCGACCCAUCUUUGCCCCCAGAGGAGAGCAGGCCCGAAAAAUAUUAUCCACAGUCUCCAGCCUUCUGUAGAAAGUCUCCAAUUUGUGAUUGGUGUUGGAAGGAGUGUGAACUUGAAGGAGGACUGGGUCAAGGACCUAAGGGUUAUGCCAACAUACAAUGAAUUGAGGAGUGUUUCUUUUUUGUUCUGUUCUUCGAAAGAGUUUGUGAACCUGUACUACUACAAUGGAAUCCACAGAAUUUUGAAAUUAGUCAAACUACUACUUUCCAGCCCUCGUUCUAAUAGUUACAAAAAGAUGAUGGUGCCUUGAGGAGCGCUUCACUGACAAAUCUGCAGAUCUAUAAGGAAAAGAAUACGUACACAUAAUUGAUUUCACACUGUUUAACAUUUCCUUUGUCUUCUUCUGGAAUAU
Molecule: long non-coding RNA, 472 nt
Organism: Equus quagga
Lineage: Eukaryota; Metazoa; Chordata; Mammalia; Perissodactyla; Equidae
Exons: 5
Source: RefSeq, a predicted model, not a curated record